UACGUAGGGGGCAAGCGUUAUCCGGAUUUACUGGGUGUAAAGGGAGCGUAGACGGUCUGAUAAGUCAGAUGUGAAAGCCUGGGGCUCAACCCCGGGACUGCAUUUGAAACUAUCGGACUAGAGUGCAGGAGAGGUAAGUGGAAUUCCUAGUGUAGCGGUGAAAUGCGUAGAUAUUAGGAGGAACACCAGUGGCGAAGGCGGCUUACUGGACUGUAACUGACGUUGAGGCUCGGAAAGCGUGGGGA
Molecule: ribosomal RNA, 245 nt
Filed under: uncultured bacterium
Lineage: Bacteria
Description: partial 16S ribosomal RNA
Rfam family: Bacterial small subunit ribosomal RNA
Source: RNAcentral